GGUUCUCUCUCAACUCUCUUGGCUCUAUCUCUCUCUUCAGCCCUUCUCUCUCCCUCGUGUAACUCUCUCUCUCUCCGACGCAAUCGUCUUUCUCCCUCAGCGGUGGCUAUUCAUCCAAGCUUAACUCCACGAUUCACAUCCACGAGAUGUUCACAUAUUAACUGGUGAAAAUAAUUGAACAGAGAAAAUCCAAUGAUGCAGAAGUCGAGUCACUGCGAGAGGAAUACCAUCAAAGGGUUGCAACACUUGAAAGGAAGGUGUAUGCUCUUACAAAGGAAAGGGACACGCUUCGGCGGGAGCAGAAUAGGAAAAGUGAUGCAGCUGCUCUUCUGAAGGAAAAGGAUGAAAUAAUUAAUCAAGUUAUGGCUGAAGGUGAAGAGCUUUCAAAAAAGCAGGCUGCUCAAGAAGGACAGAUUAGGAAAUUAAGGGCUCAGAUCAGAGAGUUUGAAGAAGAGAAGAAAGGGUUGAUUACUAAACUUCAGGUAAUUCAUUUAUGUUGGAAUCUUUAAAAUUGUGGUUCUCUGAUUUCGUUUGAUAAAGACAACUCUUGACCAGCAUAUUGAAGAGCAAUUUGGUUGUGGUCGUCUAUUGGCUUGUAUCUCAUCACGACCUGGACAGUGGCUGUGCUGAUGGGAUGGGAAAACAUUGGACAACGAGCUGGAGGUUGUUGAGGGAAUGAAGCUAGACAGGGGCUACAUAUCCCCUUAUUUCAUCACCAACCAGAACAAUCAGAAAUGUGAAUUGGAAAAUCCUCUAAUCAUAAUCCAUGAGAAGAAAAUCUCAAGUAUUAAUGAUGUGGUUAAAGUAUUGGAGUUGGUUUUGCAGUUAUGAUUUCAGAUAUGUAGAUAACCUGUUGUUGCUGAUAUUGCUACACGGGAGGAGAACAGAACAACUUGGAAAAUGUGCAAGAAGGGAGAGCUAACUCAUACAACGAAGAACAAAUUGAUGAAGUUAAGAUCAAAUUAGUAGAAUUUGUGAGCUCUCCAUUAUUUAUAAUUAUAGGUGGGAAGUAUGUAUGUAAUAGAGCAAAGAUUGGUUGACUAUGUAAUAACAAUUGAAUUGUCAAGUUUUAUGAAAGAAAUAAUUUUUGCUUCUUGGGA
Long non-coding RNA from Prunus persica (peach), 1100 nucleotides. RefSeq lists it as uncharacterized. The record is from RefSeq and is a predicted model, not a curated record. Lineage: Eukaryota; Viridiplantae; Streptophyta; Magnoliopsida; Rosales; Rosaceae. The transcript has 8 exons.